Molecule: transfer RNA, 87 nt
Filed under: Clostridiales bacterium
Lineage: Bacteria; Bacillati; Bacillota; Clostridia; Eubacteriales
Description: tRNA-Leu
Rfam family: tRNA
About the family: Transfer RNA (tRNA) molecules are approximately 80 nucleotides in length.
Source: RNAcentral
GCUCGAGUGGCGGAAUUGGCAGACGCCUUGGACUUAAAAUCCAAUGUCGGCAACGACGUACCGGUUCGAGUCCGGUCUCGAGCACCA